UUGAGUUGGUUUACAUAAACAUCAUAAAAGAUCUAGGAUCAUGCAUUAAAAGGGAUACCUUACACAUAGGUCAAGCACAACCUCUAAUCCUCAAUAUCAUUACAUUACAUAACUAUUCAUAACUUUACAUUUUAUCAUGUCCACAUUCUAUCUAUUACAUACAAAUGACUUCAAUACUCUUGCUGACCUCCUGGCCUACCCUGUACCUGCAAACCUGGAGAAUUUGGGAGAGGGGUGAGCUACUAGAGCCCAGUGAGCAGAAUAAUAAAGCAUUUAAAACACAUGCUAUCAUGUAAUGCAUCACAUCACAACUAAUCAUAUCAAGGAUGAACUUGUCACCAUUUAGCCCUCUACAUAUUCCAAUCAUGCCAGGGGCGUAGUGCAGGCCACACCUGGUCUUUCUCUUAUACAUAACAUAACAUACAUAACCAAUGGUGCCGGGGGCGUAGUGCAGGCCACAUCCGGUCUUUCACUUACAUAGUGCCAGGGGCGUAGUGUAGGCCACACCUGGACUUCCAUAUCAUAUCAUCACGUCAUAACAUAUGAGGGCUAAUGGAUCAUUCAACAUUCAUCCACAUCAACAACAUAUUAUGCAAUGCAACAUAUUCGUGAUUUCUAAUGCAAACAACCUAAAAUAUCACAUGGCAUUCGUGAUGCAUGAACAUGCUCAAAACUGAUUUAUUUUCUUGAAACAUAAAGAGUUAUUCUACUCACCUCUGGCUAGCUCUGACACUGACUGAAGUAUCUGACUCACUGCUGAGGUCCUCGGUUCCUCGGGU
Molecule: long non-coding RNA, 779 nt
Filed under: Manihot esculenta (cassava)
Lineage: Eukaryota; Viridiplantae; Streptophyta; Magnoliopsida; Malpighiales; Euphorbiaceae
Description: long non-coding RNA (MESC_LNC003369)
Source: RNAcentral